Molecule: small RNA, 28 nt
Filed under: Bombyx mori (domestic silkworm)
Lineage: Eukaryota; Metazoa; Arthropoda; Insecta; Lepidoptera; Bombycidae
Description: ovarian small RNA-23532
Source: RNAcentral
UAUCAUACGCGAAUUUGUCGCUGCCCGC